GGCAGGGCAGGGCUUCCCCCAGCUUUGCCCUAUAGGCCAGGAUUGCGUUCCCACCAGCUUCCUGUGCCCCCACAGAGAACCCAGGCAUCCAGGCUCCCAGCCUCCAGGGCCAUGCCACCAGCAUGUGUGGUCACGUGGGUGGAGCCAUGACAGGAGCCCUGACGCCUGGAUCCUUUUCCAGCGCUGGAAGGGGAAUUGCAUCGUCCCAGGAAAAUGUCUCCUAGAAGGGCCCUGAUGGGGGCGCUGCUCUGCGUCCUGCUACAAGACGCCUGGGUUCUCUUCUCAUCCUCUCCCAGCAACCACUGGCCUAGAGUGCUACAGCUUCGAAGGGACCUUGUAUGGGCAGGCAGAGCUGAGAGACGUGGGCUCGGUCCCCUGUCAGCCAGAGGAGACUGUCUGCAUCCAGGGGACAGUGGCCCUGCAAGUCGCGGGCGGGCAGCCAGCCUGGCUGGUACGGCUCGGCUGUACCACGGGGAGUGGGUUGUGGAUCCAGGGGUCCCAGGUACAAGGGGCCCUUCGUAUCUUCACUGACGUCCAGUUCUGUCGGUCCCAGCUCUGCAACCAGCGCUACCUCAACCGCAGCCUUAGCAUCUCUGCAGACCCUCCAGCCAAUGUCUCGGAGACACUGCAGUGCUACAGCUGCAUCGGGCCAGCCUCUGAGAGCUGCUCCCUGGGCAGGGCUGAGGUCACCAUGUGCGGACUCUAUGACACCCACUGCUCCUCUGGGACGGUCACCGCUGCCAUCGGGUCCUGCUCCCAGUCCUUCUCCAUCAGCAGCUGCCAGGCCCUGAGCUGUGGUGACCGCCUUGAGCUGAGUGACAACCAUGUCACCACAACAGUCACCGUGGACUCGUGUUGUGGCCACAGCCUGUGCAAUCAUGCCAGGACGGAGCACCCCAUGGGCAACCCUCAGGACCCAAACCCCAGCACCAGGACAGAGACCCCCAUGGACAAUUCCCAGGCCCAGAGUACCAAUGCCGCAAUCCUGCCUGUCCCCACCCUGCCCCCUGGUGCCCUCCUGGCACUGCUGGGGAUCCUGGAUCUGUAGAGGUGAGAGGGGCAGCCCCCUGACAUCAUUGGUGUGUGCCUCUUUCUGGUAUCCACAGCUGGGUAGAGCAGGGCCAGCUGAAAGCCCAGACACCUGGAUUCUCUUCCUGUUGUGGGAGGGGAGCGGGGUCUUGGGCGUGAGAGCAGGGGGUGCUGGGAGCCUGGACUCCUGGGAUCUAUUCCUGCAGGGUUGGUUCUAUUAACGCUUCUUCUCUCUUGGUCUUUCCUGAAAUUGCCAUUAAAGUCCUUUAACCAGAA
Molecule: RNA transcript, 1305 nt
Organism: Alligator mississippiensis (American alligator)
Lineage: Eukaryota; Metazoa; Chordata; Crocodylia; Alligatoridae
Gene name: ly6/PLAUR domain-containing protein 5
Exons: 6
Source: RefSeq, a predicted model, not a curated record